GCUUACAAAUAUUCCCAAAACCUGUUCAGGGAAACAAUAACAUUAAAAUACAGUAAUAGACAAAUCGUACAUGCAUACCCCGGUCAACACCAAAUCAUAAAACUUAUACCCCAAAUCGAUAUUCAAUCCAUUUAUCAAUAAUAGCUCAAACACAACAAAAAUCCAGUGUGUAGUAGACAGGAAUCCCAAAAUCAAAAACCUCAACUCUAAAGCACAUGAAACUAGGAAUUAAAAAACAAGAAAAGAGAGCAUACUUCAAUUCAAUCGAUAAUAGCAAGAAACAAUAGAAACCCCAAGGGGAGAAAAGAAUAAAAGAUUAAAAAGGCAAAGGUUAUGCAAAAAGGAUUA
RNAcentral lists this unclassified non-coding RNA (348 nucleotides) under Hevea brasiliensis (rubber tree). The record is from RNAcentral. Lineage: Eukaryota; Viridiplantae; Streptophyta; Magnoliopsida; Malpighiales; Euphorbiaceae.